This 772-nucleotide ribosomal RNA is filed under the name uncultured bacterium. RNAcentral's name for it is "bacterial SSU rRNA". It matches the Rfam family "Bacterial small subunit ribosomal RNA", at positions 8 to 796 of the family's 1533-position model. The record is from RNAcentral.
AGAGUUUGAUCAUGGCUCAGGACGAACGCUGGCGGCGUGCUUAACACAUGCAAGUCGAGCGGAAAGGCCCUUUCGGGGGUACUCGAGCGGCGAACGGGUGAGUAACACGUGAGUAAUCUGCCCUGCACUUCGGGAUAACUGCCGGAAACGGUGGCUAAUACCGGAUAAGACUACGUCCCGCAUGGGGUGUGGUGGAAAGUUUUUCGGUGUGGGAUGUGCUCGCGGCCUAUCAGCUUGAUGGUGGGGUAGUGGCCUACCAUGGCUUUGACGGGUAGCCGGCCUGAGAGGGUGACCGGCCACACUGGGACUGAGACACGGCCCAGACUCCUACGGGAGGCAGCAGUGGGGAAUAUUGGACAAUGGGCGGAAGCCUGAUCCAGCAACGCCGCGUGAGGGAUGACGGCCUUCGGGUUGUAAACCUCUUUCACCGAUGACGAAGCGUGAGUGACGGUAAUCGGAGAAGAAGCACCGGCCAACUACGUGCCAGCAGCCGCGGUAAUACGUAGGGUGCGAGCGUUGUCCGGAAUUAUUGGGCGUAAAGGGCUCGUAGGCGGUUUGUCGCGUCGGGAGUGAAAACACCGGGCUUAACUCGGUGCUUGCUUCUGAUACGGGCAGACUAGAGGUAUGCAGGGGAGAACGGAAUUCCUGGUGUAGCGGUGAAAUGCGCAGAUAUCAGGAGGAACACCGGUGGCGAAGGCGGUUCUCUGGGCAUGUCCUGACGCUGAGGAGCGAAAGUGUGGGGAGCGAACAGGAUUAGAUACCCUAGUAGUCC